This 58-nucleotide microRNA precursor is filed under the name Marmota monax (woodchuck). The record is from RNAcentral. Lineage: Eukaryota; Metazoa; Chordata; Mammalia; Rodentia; Sciuridae.
UAUUUUUGUUCUCUAGCUUUAUAGUCUCUUGAGACUAUAAAGCUAGAGAACAAAAAAC